CACUGAACAAGAUACAAGUGAAACCGGCCGCUUACUCCUUGGAGUCCGCUCUCUAAAAAAUUGUUGGAGAGCAAUUAAAUAAUUAAUCGAUCUAACUAUCCCUUUUGUAAUUUUUUAUUUGUUUAUGCUCUUCUUCGUUAAAAAGAUAAACUCGUUUUGCUAAUCAUAUUCUCCAAAAUUGCGUUCUAUAGAUGGGGAGGUUACAGACGUCUUACCGAUUUUCACAACAAUUACAGCGAAAAGCAUAUUGACGUUCUCUACAAAUUGAAACUCUCAUAUUAUUCUGGACACUAUAUAGGAGCCCCCAUUUUUAAGUAAAUCAAUAGCACAGAGCAAAAGAACUUAAAACUGAUGUAUAGUUGCUUAAAUUUAUUUAUACAGUAAAAUCUUAUGUGUUG
Non-coding RNA from Schizosaccharomyces pombe (fission yeast), 398 nucleotides. The record is from the annotation of a GenBank genome assembly. NCBI's taxonomy places the organism in Eukaryota, Fungi, Ascomycota, Schizosaccharomycetes, Schizosaccharomycetales, Schizosaccharomycetaceae.